RNAcentral lists this ribosomal RNA (466 nucleotides) under uncultured bacterium. Its description in RNAcentral is "partial 16S ribosomal RNA". It matches the Rfam family "Bacterial small subunit ribosomal RNA", at positions 28 to 507 of the family's 1533-position model. The record is from RNAcentral.
GAUGAACGCUGGCGGCGUGCUUAACACAUGCAAGUCGAACGAUGAAGCCCAGCUUGCUGGGUGGAUUAGUGGCGAACGGGUGAGUAACACGUGAGUAACCUGCCCUUAACUCUGGGAUAAGCCUGGGAAACUGGGUCUAAUACCGGAUAGGAGCGUCCACCGCAUGGUGGGUGUUGGAAAGAUUUAUCGGUUUUGGAUGGACUCGCGGCCUAUCAGCUUGUUGGUGAGGUAAUGGCUCACCAAGGCGACGACGGGUAGCCGGCCUGAGAGGGUGACCGGCCACAACGGGACUGAGGCAACGCCCCGGCUCCCUAGGGGGGGAACAGGUGGGAAUAUUGCACAAUGGGCGCAAGCCUGAUGCAGCGACGCCGCGUGAGGGAUGACGGCCUUCGGGUUGUAAACCUCUUUCAGUAGGGAAGAAGCGAAAGUGACGGUACCUGCAGAAGAAGCACCGGCUAACUACGUG